AGAUGUGAGGGCAAUCUGGCUGCGAUAUCUGUCACCCCGUUGAUUACCAAGGUUGAUUUGGCAGAUCUGGCUGGCUAGGCGGGUGUCUCUUUUCCUCCUUCACCGCUCCAUGUGGUACUUCCCUCCCGAAGCUGCGCACUCGGUUGAAGAGGACGGCCUUCCCCGAAUAGAGACUGACUGGUCUUCGGUCGAGGGUAUACGAGUAGCUGUGCUCCCCUGCUAGAACCUCCAAACAAGCUCUCUAUAACUAUCUGUCUAUCUAUAUAUUUUUCCUUUUUUUUUAUUUAAGUAAGGAGACAUUAACAAAAUCAUAGGAUGGGGGAGUACAACUCCACACAAUUCCCG
Erinaceus europaeus (western European hedgehog) is the source of this 345-nucleotide non-coding RNA. The record is from Rfam. NCBI's taxonomy places the organism in Eukaryota, Metazoa, Chordata, Mammalia, Eulipotyphla, Erinaceidae.